RNAcentral lists this transfer RNA (86 nucleotides) under Streptosporangiaceae bacterium NEAU-GS5. It matches the Rfam family "tRNA". From Rfam's summary of the family: Transfer RNA (tRNA) molecules are approximately 80 nucleotides in length. Their secondary structure includes four short double-helical elements and three loops (D, anti-codon, and T loops). Further hydrogen bonds mediate the characteristic L-shaped molecular structure. tRNAs have two regions of fundamental functional importance: the anti-codon, which is responsible for specific mRNA codon recognition, and the 3' end, to which the tRNAs corresponding amino acid is attached (by aminoacyl-tRNA synthetases). tRNAs cope with the degeneracy of the genetic code in two manners: having more than one tRNA (with a specific anti-codon) for a particular amino acid; and 'wobble' base-pairing, i.e. permitting non-standard base-pairing at the 3rd anti-codon position. Lineage: Bacteria; Bacillati; Actinomycetota; Actinomycetes; Streptosporangiales; Streptosporangiaceae. The record is from Rfam by way of RNAcentral.
GGAGGAUUCGCCUAGUUGGCCUAGGGCGCACGAUUGGAAAUCGUGUUUCGGGAGACCGAUCAGGGGUUCGAAUCCCCUAUCCUCCG